This 403-nucleotide ribosomal RNA is filed under the name uncultured bacterium. RNAcentral's name for it is "bacterial SSU rRNA". It matches the Rfam family "Bacterial small subunit ribosomal RNA", at positions 356 to 773 of the family's 1533-position model. The record is from RNAcentral.
GGGGAAUAUUGCGCAAUGGGGGGAACCCUGACGCAGCAACGCCGCGUGAAGGAAGAAGGCCUUCGGGUUGUAAACUUCUUUGAUGAGGGACGAAGGAAGUGACGGUACCUCAAAAACAAGCCACGGCUAACUACGUGCCAGCAGCCGCGGUAAUACGUAGGUGGCGAGCGUUGUCCGGAAUUACUGGGUGUAAAGGGCGCGUAGGCGGGGAUGUAAGUCAGAUGUGAAAUACCAUGGCUCAACUGUGGGGCUGCAUCUGAAACUAUGUUUCUUGAGUGCUGGAGAGGAAAGCGGAAUUCCUAGUGUAGCGGUGAAAUGCGUAGAUAUUAGGAGGAACACCAGUGGCGAAGGCGGCUUUCUGGACAGUAACUGACGCUGAGGCGCGAAAGCGUGGGGAGCAAAC